UACAGAGGGUGCGAGCGUUAAUCGGAAUUACUGGGCGUAAAGGGCGCGUAGGCGGUUAUGUAAGUCAGCUGUGAAAUCUCUGGGCUCAACCUAGGAAUUGCAGAUGAAACUAUAUAGCUAGAGUGCAGUAGAGGGUAGCGGAAUUUCCGGUGUAGCGGUGAAAUGCGUAGAUAUCGGAAGGAACACCAGUGGCGAAGGCGGCUAUCUGGACUGCAACUGACGCUGAGGCGCGAAAGCGUGGGGAUCAAACAGG
This 253-nucleotide ribosomal RNA is filed under the name uncultured bacterium. Its description in RNAcentral is "partial 16S ribosomal RNA". It matches the Rfam family "Bacterial small subunit ribosomal RNA", at positions 524 to 776 of the family's 1533-position model. The record is from RNAcentral.